RNAcentral lists this ribosomal RNA (1464 nucleotides) under uncultured Bordetella sp. RNAcentral describes it as "partial 16S-23S ribosomal RNA intergenic spacer". It matches the Rfam family "Bacterial small subunit ribosomal RNA". Lineage: Bacteria; Pseudomonadati; Pseudomonadota; Betaproteobacteria; Burkholderiales; Alcaligenaceae. The record is from RNAcentral.
GGUUUCGAUCAUAGCUCAGAUUGAACGCUGGCAGGAUGCUUUACACAUGCAAGUCGAACGGCAGCACGGACUCGGUCUGGCGGCGAGUGGCGAACGGUGAAAUCAUGUAUCCCGGAACGUGCCUAGUAGCGGGGAUAACUACGCGAAAGCGUAGCUAAUACCACAUACGCCCUUCGGGGAAAGCGGGGGACCUUCGGGCCUCGCACUAUUAGAGCGGCCGAUAUCGGAUUAGCUAGUUGGUGGGGUAACGGCUCACCAAGGCAUGAUCCGUAGCUGGUUUGAGAGGAACGACAAACACGCUGGGACUGGAGACACGGCCAGACUCCUACGGGAGGCAGCAGUGAAAUUUUUGGACAAUGGGGAAACCUGAUCCAGCCAUCCCGCGUGUGCGAUGAAGGCCUUCGGGUUGUAAAGCACUUUUGGCAGGAAGAAACGGCACGGGAUAAUACCCCUGCAACUGACGGUACCUGCAGAAUAAGCACCGGCUAACUACGUGCCAGCAGCGCGGUAAUACGUGGGGUGCAAGCGUAAUCGGAAUUACUGGGCGUAAAGCGUGCGCAGGCGGUUCGGAAGAAAGAUGUGAAAUCAUUUAACUUUGGAACUGCAUUUUUUAACUACCGAGCUAGAGUGUGUCCAGAGGAGGUGGAAUUCCGUGUAGCAGUGAAAUGCGUAGAUAUGCGGAGGAACACCGAUGAUAGCAGAAGGCAGCCUCCUGGGAUAACACUGACGCUCAUGCACAAAAGCGUGGGGGCAAACAGGAUUAGAUACCCUGGUAGUCCACGCCAUAAACGAUCUCGCUUCAACUGUUGGGCCUUCGGGCCUUGGUAGCGCAGCUAGCAUGAAGUUGACCGCCUGAGAGUACGGUCGCAAGAUUAAAACUCAAAGGAAUUGACGGGGAUACACUACAGCGAUGGAUGAUGUGGAUUAAUUCGAUGCAGCGCGAAAAACCUUACCUGCCAUAAACAUCUGGAAUCGAAGAGAUUUGGAGUGCUCGCAAGAGAACCGGAACACAGGUGCUGCAUGGCUGUCGUCAGCUCGUGUCGUGAGAUGUUGGGUUAAGUCCUGUGAGCACAGCCCCCUUGUCAUUAGUUGCUACGAAGGGCACUCUAAUGAGACUGCCGGUGACAAACCAGGAGGAAAGUGCAGAGGAUGACGUCAAGUCCUCAUGGCCCUUAUGGGUAGGGCUACACACGUCAUGCGUGGUCGGGACAGAGGGUCACAGCCCGCGAGGGGGAGCCAAUCCCAGAAACCCGAUCGUAGUCCGGAUCUGAUCUGCAACUCGACUGCAUUGAGCCGGAAUCGCUAGUAAUCGCGGAUCAGCAUGUCGCGGUGAAUACGUUCCGGAGUCUUGUACACACCGCCAAUCACACCAUGGAGAUGGGUUUACCAGAAGUAGUUAGCCUAACCGUAAGGAGGGCGAUUACCACGGUAGGAUUCAUGACUGGGGUGAAGUCAACAAGGUAG